GAGAGUCCACACACCUGUACCCCUGAAACAAAUAAUACAUUAUAUGUUAAUUUAAAAAAAAAAACAUUGAAAGUUAUCCAGCUGAUAGGAGGAAGUGCCAGUAUAUGAAUCCAAGCAGCAAAGGUCCAGCCCAGCAAUGUGACCACUAGCCAUAAUGCCCAGUGGAUAAGUAGUGAUUGGUAGUGCCUCUCGGACAUGUAGAAAUCCAGGGCAUUGGCCUGGGAUAAAGUGUAAAUGGGACAAGAAAGAUUAGUGACACAAAGAUGAAGGAGGCAUACAAGAUCUGAGAGAUGAACUGUGUGGUAUUGCUCAUCACAUACCAGGCAUUGAAAGGGUCCAACAUGUGACCAUCCACAGAACCGUCAGAGGGACAAACCUUAGUGACAGGUGUCAAAAAGGUUGCAGCUCCUGGACCAAAUUCACAUCAACAGCUCCAGUCUUGCUUCUCUUCUCUCCCCCUGUGGAUUAACACCCCAAGUCCAUCCCUCUGCUGGUUGCUGGACAAAGCCUACAACAACUCUCCUGCCCUCUAGAUCUUUGUGAAAUUCUUACCCCCCAACCCCAACUCUGGAAGAGUUCAACCCCAAGCCUACUCUGAGUUUGUAAAUGAGCCGCCAGGCUCUAGUGGAAAAGACACCCAUCUGGGCCAAUGGCAAUGUCCUUGGUGCUGGCCCACUAUCAGGCAGGCUGUCUGUUUCUGCUGUCUUCCUUUCCUUACCCACAGUUUGGAACUAAUUUUACUUUAUUUGGUUUUGCUGUUUCUCCAGAGUUCUAUUUGCGGCCUAUGAAGCCAUCUCUAACAGUUGGAGCCACUGCGAUACUCCAGGUAUGUUAGUCAGUGUUAUCCAGACACACAGAAUGAACAGGAGGUAUAUAUCUACAUCUAGAUUUAGAUAGAUAAAUAUACAGAAAUUAUAUUAGGAGGAAUUUGGUUCACACAUUUAUGGAGGCUGAGAAGUCCCAUGAUCUAUCUGCAAGUUAGAACCCCAGAAAAGCCAGUGGUAUAAUUCAGUCUGAGUUUGAAGGCCUAAGAACUGGGGGAAGCAUGAUAUGAUUCCCAGCCUAAGGGCAGGAGAAAAUGAGAUGAGAUGUUCUACCUCAAGUGGUGAAGCAGGAGAAAAGGGGACAAUCCUUCCUUCCUCUGCCUUGUGUUAUAUUUAGACCUUCAGUGGAUUGGAUAAUGCACACCCCACAUCGAGGAAGGUCAUCUACUUUCCUGAUUCACCAGUUAAAAUGCAAAUCUCUCUCAUUCAGAAACACCCUCACAGAUCCAGCCAGAAAUAACCUAGAAUCUGGGCAUCUCAUGGCCAGUCAAGUUGACCCAGGAAAUUAAUCAUCAUGGUGAGUAGGGAAACAUCAUACACUAUCACAUAACAUUGUUCACAAAAUAAAGCCUCACAACUCCUCCCAGACCCUGGAGAAUAGGGAAAGGAUAGUGCUAGCAAGAGAGCAUCCUUCCCGGGAGCAGUGUGCACUGUGAGUGUGAAGUCUGACUAACGUGACCCAGUGGUUAUGGGGUCCACCUGCCACGAUAGAGUGAAGGGAGUUGAACAUUCAAGGUCAUCAACCCCAGGGGAGUUGCACCUCCCAGCUUGUACAAGAGCAACUACAAGAAUUACUCAGCAGAUGGCCUCCUGAAAGGAAGUGGACCUCCAGUGUCACCUUGAAUAAUUGUGAAACUUAGUGACCUUCACACCAGAGAUAUGAAGUUUCAUCCUACGGCAACAAAAGAAAUAGCUUUUCUUGGGAUUUGAGGAGGGAACAUGAAAUCAAAGAAGGAAUUGGAGAAUUGAGUUAUGUAUGCCUUGGCCUCAAAGAGAUGGCAAGAUUUCUACAGAGAGAAAGGGUGCAAAGGAUAUGAAAAUCCUGAAAAAGGUGGUUGGAAGUUGUUUGAAUUUAUGGCUGGGAUGAAUCCUGGGAGGCUCCUGCGAGGUAUCUUUUUGUCAGUUUUCCCUGGACUUUCCCCAGAUUUCUGCAGCCUUAACUGACUUCACCAAAUUUCCAGGUGCAAACCUUGGGUCCUUCACACUGUGCCCAACCCAGUAGUGUCUGAUCCCAUAGUCUACAUGAUUCCCCUGCUUCUCUGCUCUGAUCUUUCCUCAUGUGCAUAUAUAAUAGCCAGAAAGAACUGACAUUGAUCUCUAGGGACGGAAGGGGUAAAGCAUGGAAGGCUUCCUGGAGGAGGAUGCAACUGAGCUGGACGGGGAUGAACUCUGUUAGCAAGAUUUCCAAAGUCUGAGAUGACUAGAACCAAAGGAAAAGGCAUGUGUAAAGGACUAACUGGGGGAGUUGGGCAUUGAGGGAAGGACAUAGGUGUAGAAAGACAACAAUAUGAGCAAAGAUUUUAGUAAUUUAGCAGGACCUGGAAAUAUGGCAGUUUCUCCCCAUAGACCUGAAGAGAGUGGACAGUCUGCCUGUCAAUCAUUGUAGCCCCUCCAAUGAUGACGUUUGAGGGUGGGACCAUACAUAGAAAGGAGGUUAAAGAAGCCCUACCACGUGACCAGGCAAGUUUCCUUUAAAAUUUGGAUUGUACCUUGCGGCUUCCGUGGACCGUUCCACUAAGGGAUUAUGGCAAAUGGCGGUUACUUUUUCGACGAUCUCAAAAAAUGCUGCAUGAUUGGGUACUGUGGCCCCACCAACCACUUUCAGAAAUUCCCCUGGAUAAGGGAAAGAGGAAGUUUGUCCCAUCCACUCAUCUUAUGAGUUUCCAAGUUACCUAAUUUUCCUGCAGUGGUGCUAAGCUGACCUGCCACAGGUAAGUCUUUUGUAGAUUUGUACAAUCACUAACUCCUUCAGGAUCUGUGAUGGAGAAAUCCAGUUCUGGUCAGCCUACAGGCCUGUAAUGAGAGGAGAGGACCUAGACCCAGUUGUCAAGACCAGCCAUAAGGUAAGUGCAACCUUAUACUGUGUGAGGCUACAGGUGUUGGCUGGAGAAUAGCACCUGUCUCCUCUGUCAGUUGUCUCAUUAUUUAGGAUGGUUUUAUUGUCUCAUUAUUUAAGAUGGUGUUGUUGUCUCAUUAUUUAAGAUGGUGUUGUUGUCUCAUUAUUUAAGAUGGUGUUGUUGUCUCAUUAUUUAAGAUGGUGUUGAAAUCCCUCCCCUGUCUCUAAUUUGGAACUUCCAGCAAUGGCAGGGUCACUGCCUGGGUACUACUGAUUAACUCUGUGGUAGAGACUCUGUGUCUCUGAUUUAUUUAACUGGUCAGUGGCAUCUUUUCCAGUCCUUACUUGUGUUUCUCUGUUUACUGUUGAAUGCCACUCUUACAGACACGUUGGCUUUAUUAGAAUGUCAGAUUUCAAACAAACCUGAUCUCGAUGUUAUCACAUCGCAGUUUUGAUCUGUCUUUUUAUCCUUUUGGAAGACUUGUAAUACCAUGUAGAUGCAGGAGGGAUUGGAUGGGCUUGUCCAAAACACGCUUUGGGAACCUAGAGAUUGUGGGAGCACUGCUCAGGUGUUUUGUUUUGUUUUGUUCCAGGUACAAGUGUAACUUUUUAUCAUGGAUCUGAAUGCAGUUAAAUCCAGCUCCAUUUAGGAAAGGGGAAAAGAUGAGAUCUGUACCCCAGGGCCAGCAGAUAUCCUCAGAGAGUAUUGGGCAUCUCUUUGGAAAUCAACCUCUUUAAUUCUGCUACGAUGCCAGGAGGUUGCCCAGCAACGCACACUUUGCCUUGCUCUGAGCUGCAGUCUUUUGUGGCUCACUUGAACAGCUUACACUGAAGCUGACGUGUGUCAGCAUCAAGUUGGGGCCACAGGGGGUUUGUUAACUGGCAGUGCCAAAAAGUUAUCCUCUCUUUGUUUCCCUGUGUAAAGUUACUUCUUUUCUGGGCACUGGUUAAUUUGUUGAAAAUCAGGUGAAAGCUUUUGACAGUGGGUCAGGAGAGCUUUGAGUGUAAAUAUGAAUUACUCGAGGGUGCAUUCAAAGACACUUCUGACCUUCAGUUUUAUAGACCCCUCUGCCCUCGGUUGCUUUAUUAGCACUGGUUUAAUCCAGAAGGUGGCAUCACAGAAUCUGAUGGGAACUCACCAAAGAUUUAAAAAACAAACAAAAAAAAACCAACAAAAAAAACCACGCCAUUUCUUUGUGAUCAGACACUAAAGUAUGUAGCCCUUUUACAACAUAGUGACAUUUUGAAGACUUCUCUAUCCCUACAAUUGGUUAAAUUACUUUAAAUCUGUGGAAGGUAAAAACCUGAGGUCUGAGGUACUUUGCAAAACCUGUACCCAAACCCAUGUUCCUUCCCCAGGUGGUGUGACAGUGACCAAGACUGGCUUAUCUGCUUGUCAAAAGCAGCUGUUCGAUUGAACAACUGUGAUGCCUCCUUCCCCUUCCACACACCCUUGUGCCCAAUGCCUGUCAAAAUCAUCUUGGGUCAUUUCAUUGAAGGGAAGGGCUGGGGAAGGUCUAAAUGAAUGGUUUAUGGGUAAAUCUGCUGUGUACUGGUACUUAAAAAUACGUCACUUAAAAAUAAUUCCAAAAGGGUGACUCUCUAAGUGGUGGCAUUCUCAAAGUCAGGACUCUCAGGGGUAAGAGAAGGUGACCCUCCUCAGAAUUUAAGGUGGGACCUGGCUUGGUGGUUCUUCCCCAGGAGGCUGUUCCUGGGCCAGCCAUAUUGACUGCCUCGUGAGGCCUGUACUCAGUGAAUGUCCCCCCUGUAGUGGGAAUGUCCAUGUGCUUUUAGUUCAUGGUGUGAAGUAUUCCAUGUCAAACCUGUGUUUGCCUUAAGUGCUUCUUUAUUCUACUGAUUUACGUGGGCGAUGGAAAGAGGAUGGAUAUUGAAUGCUUUAAGGCAAGGCCUUUGAAAUGGAGUGUCUUCCUUGUUGCAUGUAAACUCUUGGAUGGCCAAUAAUAUUUCAUUGUAGAUAUAUACCACAUUUUUUUUAUCCAUCGAUCUUGUUGAUGAAUGCUUGGGUUGCUUCCAUGUCUUAGCUGGUGUGGAUGCUGCUGAACACUGGGGUUUGGAUAAGCCUUUGGGAUAGUGGCUUCUUUUCCUUUAUAUAAAUAUGCAGACAUGGGAUGGCUGGAUUGGAUAGUAGUUCUAUUUCUAAUUGUUGAGCAGCUGCAAUGCUGUUUUCCAGAGUGGCCCUUCCAGCUGAUGUGGGUGAACACAUCUUGAACUAAAUGGAUUUCAGGGUUGGUUCUCCAGCCCCUUCUGAUUGUCUGUUCUUUUAAGGAGAGGAACUAGAGAGGUUCGAGGCUUCACGGGGGCUCAAAGGGUAUUUAUGAUCAGGAGAGAUGGAAUGACUGAUUAAUAGGGUCCUUCCUUCAGGAGAUGGGGAGAGGGCUGGGCAGAGUGGCCUUCCCUUUGUAGACCUGCCCUCAGAGUAUGGGGAGAAAGCAGGCAGGAGGAGCUCUGGGUCCCUGUAUUGGACUUUUGUGUGUCCAAGGGUAUCUUCCGCCUACUUCCCUGUCAUUGGCUCUACUUAGGAUCAGCAUAGCUGGAGGACAAAAGGCCGAUGAUGCACAUUAUUGAAUGUGACAUGAGCACAUAGGACCCUCUGACAAAGGUGAAAUCCUUAUGAUGGGGUCUGUUCUUUAUUUUCCCAGCUUCCCUGAGAAUUUGGGACUUUGCUCCUGGGGACGGCUUUGUUGUUUCUGCCUCUCUGUGCGCUGCCUUAGCCUGUGAAAUGUGGCCCAAAGAAUGGCGGUCCUUCUCCCCCCCCCCCACCCCGUACCGUUUUCUAGUCCGAGGGAGCCUUCCUAGAGGUGAUAAUUGUUGUUUCUGGCAACUAAUCUGACGUGGCUGGGUUGACCGCUCAGUCUUGCAUGUUGAUAGUGACCUGUGUUCUCCCGGAGAGCUUGAUGAAGGUGAACUGCUGCUGCUGGCAUGUUCUUUAAUGCACUGGCCAGACAAUUCUUCCCUUGACAUUCCCAUGGCUCAAGUGACUUGUUAAAUUCCUACAGAAAAUGCAUACUGGCUGGCAAUGGCAGUGUGUGGGGCAUGGGACAGAUUGGGUCCCAGGGAAGAAACUGGCUGUGGCUGAUGGUCAGACUUCUGUGCUCUGACACAAAGAUAUUGGAUGGAGUAAUGUCCACCGUGCAGAGCCGUGGCAUAUGUGGCAUCUUUGGAAUCCCAAUUUUGUGUUUGGGACUGCGGUUGGAAUUCCAAGCAUUUCCCUAUUAACUUCCUUCACUCUUCUGCUGAGUGUACUCUGCACAUCGGUGGGAGGAGAAGCAGCGCGUGGACGCUGUCAAUGAACUGUACGUGAGUCAGGGGACAUUUUGAUCCUCAUGGGCUUGUGCACGUGAACUUGGAUGUCUGGGAACCUCCUGGGUCAGGUCUCCAGUUAGAGGAUUAAGCCCUCCUGUUUCUUUUGCCCAGAAGGGCGUAUACCCACAGGCUGCUGGCAUCCCUUCCCUUAUUUAUCUGCUACAAGUAGCCGCUUGGUCAUCCGACCCCUCUGCCAUUUUGGGGUUCUCCUGGGAGGCGAUGACUUUGCCUCCAGGGGAUCUUGCCUGUUAUAGACACCGCAGUGUUGUGCUGAAGCUACCAGAGGGGUGAGAGGAUAAAGGGGAGUUGCAGUUUGAGGAGGGAGGGGUGUUACGGUUUCCCCAUUUCAAGUUCUUGCUUUCUCUUGAUAGAGAAAUCUCGGGCUCAGCAGGGAUGUGAGUACACUCUGAGAGUAUGAGGAAACUUGACAGCACGAGGACAAGGGACUUGGGGUGAAAGUGGUGGGCCUUGUGAGCUCAGGGGUGGGUUUCCUGCCUUUUUCCAUUUCCCCACACGACCUCUGGGGCGGCAUAACUGGGGCACAGAAGACAUUGGACGUUGCCGGAGAUGGUCUGAGAAACUACGACUGUCUCGUUGAAUGGAGACAUUCGUUAGGAUGAGAGGGGGGUCAUUUUCCAAUUUACCAAGAAUGGAUUUAUAGGCGCAUGGCCGUUAUGCUGUCUCAUUUUAAUUCUGUUACCGUAGGCCUAUGGACAAAGGCCUCGGGAGAGAGUUAGCCCCUCACUCUGCUGUCUCUUUGCAGGUCUCAAUGACCUGAGGCCCUUCGGAGGAGGAACUACUGUUGCUCAUGCUGGUUUUGUUCCCAGGAGAGUCUUUGUAGGCCCUCGGACAUGGUCUUUGGUGGUCAGGCCCCUCUGCACUUCUCGGGAGGGUGUAGCUGAGCCUUCUGUUUCGGCAGCUGAAGUCGUCCCCUUUCCCCUUGUUCUCGGGCCCUGCAGGGUCCCCGGGGACCCAUUCCUGGACUGCACAAUUGUCCAGAGGCUUGUCUGGCUUUUGAAAAAGAUUUGCCUCCUGUGCAGGGAGACUGGGACCCACAUUCAGAAGUUUUCUGAAGUCAGUGUUCUCAGAAAAAGGAAGGGGAGGUCCUUCGCCUCCUUUGAACAGGGGUCACUUAACUUUUAGUUCUUAUUUUAUUUGCCCUUAUGACACGCUAGCAGGAGAUACCAGGUCCCCUUGGGAUCUGCACCCUCCCCUGACUGGUGAGUCCCCAGCGCUGGCCACAGUUAUCGAGGCCUGCACUGAGAACUCCCUCUAGAGCUCUUGGUGCCAACAGCACCCAAGGGACAGUUCCUCAGUCCGAACAGGGCUUCUCCUUCUGCGGCUUUUACCCCUGCCUGUGUUCUCAUGAGAAGCUCUCGCUGGGCCACAGAGCCCACUGCAGUGAGGUUUGAAACUACAAACCUUGUUUAGGGACGGUUCAGGUUGAUAUGCUGAUGUCAGCCAUCCACUGACCAGUUGAACUGUGCUAUUCCUCUCACACCCUCCCUUUCCUGAGGGCCCUGGAGCGGCAGAGGGGCGAUCUGUCUCCUUUGUGAGACGCAGGACUGGACAGAAUACUUGGAGGGGAGGCUUUGGACGCUGCUUUAUGGAGCCUUAGUGUGGAGGCCUCUCCGAAUGGGUGGGAAUCAGCCAUUGGCCAUGGCUGAUGGUCAGACUUCUGUGCUCUGACACAAAGAUAUUGAAUGGAGUAAUGUCCACCGUGCAGAGCCGUAGCAUAUGUGGGAUCUUUGGAAUCCCAAUUUUGUGUUUGGGACUGCGGUUGGAAUUCCAAGCAUUUCCCUAUUAACUUCCUUUGCUCUUCUGCUGAGUAUACUCUGCACGUCGGUGGGAGGAGAAGCAGCGCGUGGACGCUGUCAAUGAACUGUACGUGAGUCAGGGGACAUUUUGAUCCUCGUGGGCUUGUGCACGUGGCUGUAACCCUGGGUGGCUCAGUGGGUUAAAGCCUCUGCCUUGGGCUCGGGUCCUGGUCCCCGGGUCCUGG
Molecule: long non-coding RNA, 8206 nt
Organism: Mustela erminea (ermine)
Lineage: Eukaryota; Metazoa; Chordata; Mammalia; Carnivora; Mustelidae
Exons: 3
Source: RefSeq, a predicted model, not a curated record